CUCACAGAGAGCCGUCUUCUCCAUGCAGCUUCUCGCAUAGCGUCUGCUGAGCUCGUUAUGCAAAAUACUUCUCAGUGCAACACUGGUAGAAAUGUUACAUCUUAACAUUUCAAGCUGGCUGUGAACUGCAUGCGUCAGUCUGUACUGAGGAGCAUCAGGUACAAGAAGUACCAGGAAGGAAAAAGUGACGGGGACAGAGGCGAGGGAUGAGCGAGGAUGUUUAACCAGUUUUUCACUGGCCCUUAACUAAUCUCCGCGUGGGAAUUCUCAAAGGUCAGAGCAGCUUGAAAAGGUUUUGGAGACAAGUGGACACAAGUCAUUCCUCACUGAUGUGCCAGGAUGUGUGACUGGACGGUGUCAGUGAGUGGUGCUACCUUAUGUGUCUCCUGACACAUCGUUUUCAUCAGGUUGCUGGCGCUACCCUAACAUGACCUGCCGAACAUCUCAGCUGAGCUUUUGUACUGUCAUGUUGCAACUGUCAGUAAAAUAAACAUCCAUCCGUUUCAAGGGUUCAUCUCUCCAGCUUCCCAUGUUCCUUCUGCUUGA
This is a long non-coding RNA of Gambusia affinis (western mosquitofish), 546 nucleotides long. RefSeq lists it as uncharacterized. The record is from RefSeq and is a predicted model, not a curated record. The transcript is spliced from 3 exons. Lineage: Eukaryota; Metazoa; Chordata; Actinopteri; Cyprinodontiformes; Poeciliidae.